GGACCCGUAGCUCAGCUGGAUAGAGCGUUGCCCUCCGAAGGCAAAGGUCGUACGUUCGAAUCGUAUCGGGUCCG
Transfer RNA from Roseomonas sp., 74 nucleotides. It matches the Rfam family "tRNA". From Rfam's summary of the family: Transfer RNA (tRNA) molecules are approximately 80 nucleotides in length. Their secondary structure includes four short double-helical elements and three loops (D, anti-codon, and T loops). The record is from Rfam. Lineage: Bacteria; Pseudomonadati; Pseudomonadota; Alphaproteobacteria; Acetobacterales; Roseomonadaceae.